RNAcentral lists this ribosomal RNA (253 nucleotides) under uncultured bacterium. Its description in RNAcentral is "partial 16S ribosomal RNA". It matches the Rfam family "Bacterial small subunit ribosomal RNA", at positions 524 to 776 of the family's 1533-position model. The record is from RNAcentral.
UACGUAGGGGGCAAGCGUUGUCCGGAUUCAUUGGGCGUAAAGAGCUCGUAGGCGGUUUGUUGCGUCUAUCGUGAAAACCUGCAGCUUAACUGUGGGCUUGCGGUGGAUACGGGCAGACUUGAGUUCGGUAGGGGAGACUGGAAUUCCUGGUGUAGCGGUGAAAUGCGCAGAUAUCAGGAGGAACACCGGUGGCGAAGGCGGGUCUCUGGGCCGAUACUGACGCUGAGGAGCGAAAGCGUGGGGAGCGAACAGG